RNAcentral lists this ribosomal RNA (442 nucleotides) under uncultured soil bacterium. RNAcentral describes it as "bacterial SSU rRNA". It matches the Rfam family "Bacterial small subunit ribosomal RNA", at positions 26 to 455 of the family's 1533-position model. The record is from RNAcentral.
AGAACGAACGUUAGCGGCGCGCCUAACACAUGCAAGUCGAGCGAGAAAGGGAGCAAUCCCCGGUACAGCGGCGCACGGGUGAGUAACACGUAGGUAACCUACCCUCGAGUGGUGGAUAACCUUCCGAAAGGAGGGCUAAUACAGCAUGAGCCCACGGCGCCGAGAGGCGCAGGGGGAAAAGCCGGCCUCUUCAUGAAAGCUGGUGCUCGAGGAUGGGCCUGCGGCCCAUCAGCUAGUUGGUGAGGUAAUGGCUCACCAAGGCAGAGACGGGUAGCUGGUCUGAGAGGAUGAUCAGCCACACUGGAACUGAGACACGGUCCAGACUCCGUACGGGAGGCAGCAGGUGGGAAUCGUGCGCAAUGGCGAAAGCCUGACGCAGCGACGCCGCGUGAGUGAUGAAGGCCGUCGGUAGUAAGCUCGUGGUAGGAGGGAAGAAGUAAGG